GACGGAGGUGCCUGUUUACCCGCGCCGGACUCACCGCCGCCGCCGCCGCGGGAUCCGAGUGCGGGCGCGGGCGCGGGCGCUCCCGGCGAGCCACGGUGGUGCUGGCUAGAGUGUAUACGUUUGGACCCAAGCUUAACUUUUCCAAUGUGGAAUCCUGGGCCUUCAUUGGUUUUUGGAAGAAGCUGACCGCCUGAAAAGAAAUUAUAAAACAUGAAAAUCGCUUUGAGGUGACCAAGUCCAGAGGCCCCUAACUCCUCCCAAGCUGGAUCUGGGGUGUAAGAACUGUAACUUCAGAUCAUCCAAUGGCAGACCAGAGAAUGGACAUUUCUUCAACCAUCAGUGAUUUCAUGUCCCCGGGCCCCACCGACCUGCUUUCCAGCUCUCUUGGUACCAGUGGUGUGGAUUGCAACCGCAAACGGAAAGGCAGCUCCACUGACUACCAAGAAAGCAUGGACACAGACAAAGAUGACCCUCAUGGAAGGUACCAUGAACCUAGUAAUUUGAACUUCAGCAUCCUUAUAGCCAUUUUCUUUGCACUGUUACACAUUCUAUUACUUGGGGCAGCACCCAUGUCCUCAACUGGAGAUGAGCAAGGAGGCCGUGAGCCUGUGGGCGCUCACUGUGUCCCUCCAA
RNAcentral lists this small RNA (633 nucleotides) under Pan troglodytes (chimpanzee). RNAcentral describes it as "retained intron". The record is from RNAcentral. Lineage: Eukaryota; Metazoa; Chordata; Mammalia; Primates; Hominidae.